Molecule: ribosomal RNA, 201 nt
Filed under: uncultured bacterium
Lineage: Bacteria
Description: partial 16S ribosomal RNA
Rfam family: Bacterial small subunit ribosomal RNA
Source: RNAcentral
UACGUAGGGUGCAAGCGUUAAUCGGAAUUACUGGGCGUAAAGCGUGCGCAGGCGGUUGUGCAAGACAGAUGUGAAAUCCCCCGGGCUUAACCUGGGAUUGCAUUUGUGACUGCACGGCUAGAGUGUGUCAGAGGGGGGUAGAAUUCCACGUGUAGCAGUGAAAUGCGUAGAUAUGUGGAGGAAUACCGAUGGCGAAGGCAG